This 476-nucleotide ribosomal RNA is filed under the name uncultured bacterium. Its description in RNAcentral is "partial 16S ribosomal RNA". It matches the Rfam family "Bacterial small subunit ribosomal RNA", at positions 28 to 523 of the family's 1533-position model. The record is from RNAcentral.
GACGAACGCUGGCGGCGUGCCUAACACAUGCAAGUCGAGCGAUGAAACCCUUCGGGGUGGAUUAGCGGCGGACGGGUGAGUAACAAGUGGGUAACCUGCCUCAAAGAGGGGGAGAGCCUCCCGAAAGGGAGAUUAAUACCGCAUAACCUUAGUUUUUCGCAUGAAGAACUAAUUAAAGGAGUAAUCCGCUUUGAGAUGGACCCGCCGCGCAUUAGCUAGUUGGUGAGGUAAAGGCGCACCAAGGCGACGAUGAGUAGCCGACCUGAUAGGGUGAUCGGCCACAUUGGAACUGAGACACGGUCCAGACUCCUACGGGAGGCAGCAGUGGGGAGUAUUGCACAAUGGGCGAAAGCCUGAUGCAGCAACGCCGCGUGAGUGAUGAAGGCCUUCGGGUUGUAAAGCUCUGUCUUUUGGGACGAUAAUGACGGUACCAAAGGAGGAAGCCACGGCUAACUACGUGCCAGCCGCCGCAGUAA